Molecule: ribosomal RNA, 301 nt
Filed under: uncultured bacterium
Lineage: Bacteria
Description: partial 16S ribosomal RNA
Rfam family: Bacterial small subunit ribosomal RNA
Source: RNAcentral
CAGUCGCCGCGGGAAUACGAAGGGGGCUAGCGUUGCUCGGAAUUACUGGGCGUAAAGGGCGCGUAGGCGGGUUGUUAAGUUAGAGGUGAAAGCCCAGGGCUCAACCCUGGAACUGCCUUUAAUACUGGCAUCCUAGAGUAUGACAGAGGUGUGUGGAACUCCGAGUGUAGAGGUGAAAUUCGUAGAUAUUCGGAAGAACACCAGUGGCGAAGGCGACACACUGGGUCAUUACUGACGCUGAGGCGCGAAAGCGUGGGGAGCAAACAGGAUUAGAUACCCCUGUAGUCCCUGUCUCUUAUAC